Molecule: long non-coding RNA, 422 nt
Organism: Cloeon dipterum
Lineage: Eukaryota; Metazoa; Arthropoda; Insecta; Ephemeroptera; Baetidae
Exons: 3
Source: RefSeq, a predicted model, not a curated record
UAGAUAAAACUUCCUACGGUUUGUGGAUUGACAUCGGAAACUACACCUAUUUAUUGGGAAACAAACCGAUGACUUGGAUGUCCAGCUUUCGUCAGUGCUGCACCCUGGGGAUGGAGGCACUAAACUUGGACAAUGCUUCCGAGCAACUCGGCUUGACAAACCUGACUGUCGUCUACAAUAUUACCGACUGGAAGGGGAAUUUCAAUUACUGGACGUCCGGCACGUGCAAGGGGGCACCAGCAGGACAGUGGUCUUGGUGUGAGCCGACGGGACCGACAAUAUUCAGCCCCGGCGUCGCGUGGGAACCAGGCCAGCCCGACAACCGCGGAGGAAACGAGAGCUGUGCACACUUCCGCUUGGUUUUCAACUCCACAGGCGCGAUUUUGACUGAUAGAAACUGCAACAGCAAAUACAUUUUCGCU